Molecule: ribosomal RNA, 305 nt
Filed under: uncultured bacterium
Lineage: Bacteria
Description: bacterial SSU rRNA
Rfam family: Bacterial small subunit ribosomal RNA
Source: RNAcentral
ACCUACGGGGCGCAGCAGUAGGGAAUUUUCGUCAAUGGGCGCAAGCCUGAACGAGCAAUGCCGCGUGAACGAGGAAGGUCUUCGGAUCGUAAAGUUCUGUUGAAGGGGAAAAAGAGCGGAGAGAGGAAAUGGUCUCCGAUUGAUAUUACCCUUCGAGGAAGUCACGGCUAACUACGUGCCAGCAGCCGCGGUAAUACGUAGGUGGCGAGCGUUAUCCGGAAUGAUUGGGCGUAAAGGGUGCGUAGGCGGCCUGCUAAGUCUGGAGUGGAUGGUACCGGCUCAACCGGUACAGGCUCUGGAAACUG